UGGGGAAUUUUGGACAACGGGGGAAACCCUGAUCCAGCCAUGCCGCGUGAGUGAAGAAGGCCUUCGGGUUGUAAAGCUCUUUCAGCCGGAACGAAACGGUUACGGUUAAUACCCGUGACUACUGACGGUACCGGACGAAGAAGCACCGGCUAACUAUGUGCCAGCAGCCGCGGUAAUACGUAGGGUGCGAGCGUUAAUCGGAAUUACUGGGCGUAAAGCGUGCGCAGGCGGUUUUGUAAGUCAGAUGUGAAAUCCCCGGGCUUAACCUGGGAACUGCGUUUGAAACUACAAGGCUAGAGUGUGGCAGAGGGGGGUGGAAUUCCACGUGUAGUAGUGAAAUGCGUAGAGAUGUGGAGGAACACCGAUGGCGAAGGCAGCCCCCUGGGUUAACACUGACGCUCAGGCACGAAAGCAUGGGGAGCAAAC
Molecule: ribosomal RNA, 426 nt
Filed under: uncultured bacterium
Lineage: Bacteria
Description: bacterial SSU rRNA
Rfam family: Bacterial small subunit ribosomal RNA
Source: RNAcentral